RNAcentral lists this ribosomal RNA (301 nucleotides) under uncultured bacterium. RNAcentral describes it as "partial 16S ribosomal RNA". It matches the Rfam family "Bacterial small subunit ribosomal RNA", at positions 509 to 807 of the family's 1533-position model. The record is from RNAcentral.
CAGCAGCCACGGUAAUACGUAGGGUGCGAGCGUUAAUCGGAAUUACUGGGCGUAAAGCGUGCGCAGGCGGUUUUGUAAGACAGGCGUGAAAUCCCCGGGCUCAACCUGGGAAUGGCGCUUGUGACUGCGAAGCUAGAGUGCGGCAGAGGGGGAUGGAAUUCCGCGUGUAGCAGUGAAAUGCGUAGAUAUGUGGAGGAACACCGAUGGCGAAGGCAAUCCCCUGGGCCUGCACUGACGCUCAUGCGCGAAAGCGUGGGGAGCAAACAGGAUUAGAUACCCGGGUAGUCCCUGUCUCUUAUAC